AAAAAAUUCCAAUGAAAAGUCCGGUCGAAAAUGACCAAACCAAAUAAAAACAUCCAUCCUAAAAAAUAGGGUUUUCUAAUUUGGUUUUGUCUCAUUUAAGUUGUUGAUGACACUACAAAAGAUUUUCUUCAAUAAAAAGAUUCCUCCUCCUCCUCAUUAGAUCAUCAACCAACCGAUCCUUGGAGAUUGAAAAUGAAACUUGUAUUGCAGCUCAAAGAAGUACAGGCACUCCAUCUAGUAGACCUCCUCAGUAGGAGCUCAGGACACUCAACUAUAUUUGGUGAGCUUCAAGUUGAUUCGAGGCUUUAUUGAGUUUUUGAUAUAUGUAUUUUGGUAUUGUACAGUAGUUUUGUAAGGCGGGUCCUAUCCCAACAUAGACUAAAUUUUCUAUGUAAUAGAGGCUUUGUAGACUAAUAAAUGAAGUUCAAAUAUAUUUUGUCUCGUAA
Capsicum annuum is the source of this 446-nucleotide long non-coding RNA. RefSeq lists it as uncharacterized. The transcript is spliced from 2 exons. Lineage: Eukaryota; Viridiplantae; Streptophyta; Magnoliopsida; Solanales; Solanaceae. The record is from RefSeq and is a predicted model, not a curated record.